RNAcentral lists this ribosomal RNA (253 nucleotides) under uncultured bacterium. RNAcentral describes it as "partial 16S ribosomal RNA". It matches the Rfam family "Bacterial small subunit ribosomal RNA", at positions 524 to 776 of the family's 1533-position model. The record is from RNAcentral.
UACGUAGGGUGCAAGCGUUGUCCGGAAUCAUUGGGCGUAAAGAGCGUGUAGGCGGCUUGGUAGGUCCGCUGUGAAAACUCGAGGCUCAACCUCGAGAUGUCGGCGGAAACCACUUGGCUAGAGUCCGGAAGAGGAGAGUGGAAUUCCCGGUGUAGCGGUGAAAUGCGCAGAUAUCGGGAAGAACACCUAUGGCGAAGGCAGCUCUCUGGGACGGUACUGACGCUGAGACGCGAAAGCGUGGGGAGCAAACAGG